AAGUCGUAACAAGGUAACCGUAGGUGAACCUGCGGUUGGAUCAUUACCAAUUCUUUCUAAAUUUUCUUGUCCAGAGGAGCCUUUCGAGGUCUCUUUGGAAAGAAAAGGAAGAAACAAAAUGUGCACCUGUACUUGUACAUUGGCGGCUGUCCAGUGCUUUGUGCUGGACUUGCAUUGAAUUGCAAAGGUCGUCAAUUAAUCUGUUUUAAAAACUCCUUACUGUUUUUUUUCUAUUUUGAACUUUUAUUUUCUCUGAUAAAGAAAACCAAGAACAACUAUUAACAAUGGAUCUCUUGGCUCUC
Molecule: unclassified non-coding RNA, 302 nt
Filed under: fungal sp.
Lineage: Eukaryota; Fungi
Description: partial internal transcribed spacer region
Rfam family: Eukaryotic small subunit ribosomal RNA (bases 1-46)
Source: RNAcentral